AUACGGAGGAUCCGAGCGUUAUCCGGAUUUAUUGGGUUUAAAGGGUGCGCAGGCGGGAGAUUAAGUCGGCGGUGAAAUUUUGCAGCUCAACUGUAAAAGUGCCUUCGAAACUGGGUUCCUUGAGUGUAGAUGAAGGAGGCGGAAUUUGUGGUGUAGCGGUGAAAUGCAUAGAUAUCACGAGGAACUCCGAUUGCGCAGGCAGCUUACUAAACUACUACUGACGCUCAGGCACGAAGGCGUGGGGAUCAAACAGGAUUAGAUACCCUGGUAGUCCACGCAGUAAACGGUGAUUACUAGCUGUUUGCGAUACAAUGUAAGCGGCUGAGCGAAAGCGUUAAGUAAUCCACCUGGGGAGUACGCCGGCAACGGUGAAACUCAAAGGAAUUGACGGGG
RNAcentral lists this ribosomal RNA (393 nucleotides) under uncultured bacterium. Its description in RNAcentral is "partial 16S ribosomal RNA". It matches the Rfam family "Bacterial small subunit ribosomal RNA", at positions 523 to 918 of the family's 1533-position model. The record is from RNAcentral.